This 312-nucleotide ribosomal RNA is filed under the name Triticum aestivum (bread wheat). RNAcentral's name for it is "partial small subunit ribosomal RNA". Lineage: Eukaryota; Viridiplantae; Streptophyta; Magnoliopsida; Poales; Poaceae. The record is from RNAcentral.
AUGGGCACCAACAUCCACUUCAACACAGCUUUCCAUCCUCAAACUAGCGGUCAAGUCGAGCGUGUCAACCAGAUUCUUGAAGAUAUGCUCAGGGCUUGUGUGAUCUCCUUCGGCAUGAAGUGGGAGGAUUGUCUUCCUUAUGCUGAAUUCUCCUACAACAACAGUUUUCAAGCAAGUUCGGGCAAAGCCCCAUUUGAAAUUCUGUAUGGCAGGAAGUGCCGUACCCCUCUCAACUGGUCCGAAACCGGUGAACGUCAGCUUUUGGGUAAUGACUUAAUCACAGCGGCAGAGGAAAUGUGCAAAGUCAUUUGA